UGAGAGAGGGAGAGUCCGGUAGGUUUAAUUACUCAAGUUUUUCAGUUGGUGAUAAGACUCUGCAUUGUUGGUUCCUGUGUCGUUCCAUAGAAGACCCAAACAAAAAUGCAGUUUCGACCUUUUCAGAUGCUAUUAGUUAUAAUAUAUACUAAGGAUAUCUUUUAUGAACCACCAAGAAUUGUUAUGCUCUAUGAUUAAUUUUUUAAUGUUAUAUAUAAAUAUAUACAUGUUACAUAAAGAGUUGUUGAUGAGUAGGGGUCCGUUUGGAUUAGCAUGUCUUUGGAGUUGAGUUUUUUUUUUUUUUUUUUUUUGCUUCCUUAAUUACCUUUAGCUAAGUAGUUUUGUUACUCGUGUUAAUGACAGUUGAAUCGAUAAAAUCCACAAAAGAUUACCUAUAGCAUAAAAAUAAAAUAAAAAAAACAACUUAAGAAUUCUAUCUAAACUUAAACUUAGACUUUCUUUUCAACUAUGAUUGACGAUUUGUUCCUAAAGCUCAUAUUAAUCUUCACUUAAUUAACUGCAAUCUUUUGCUGGAAAUGAUCGAUUUGGAUACUUCCACAAACUGCACAAUCUCUCACACUCACUCACUCAAUCACUAAUAUCCUUCACUUGAAUUUCUGAUUUAGCAAACCAAAGAUGAUGAUGACGAGAGGAGCUCUUGUGCUCUUCUUUUGUCUUUUCUUUAGCUUUGACACAAAGUUUUGCUGCUUCUGAUGCCAAAGCUCCUGCACCACCCUCGCCAUCCAAAGGUUCCCCAUGGUGGCACCCUGACCCUAGCAAGCUUCAAAAGUGCACUGGAGCUUACCGCACUGCUCCGGGAACGUGCUACCGUGAGAUUUUCGUAUCUUUUUGGAUACGAAAGGUUGCCAUUGGGGAAGAUUGCUGUAAGGACAUUGUAGAAGCUGAUGAUGAUUGUGCCUCUACUGUGUUCAGCCAGUUCAACAACCACUUCUUCCAGAUGUUGAAGCAACAUUGCUCGAACAAGGAAGGCCACGCCAGCACCAUCGCCACCAAAGGCAACACCGGCACCACCUCCACCGAAAGCAACACCAUCACCACCAAAGUCAUAAGAUUUCUAGUCGAGUCUUAGAUUAGGGUUAUUUUAGUAUUCUUUUGGUAUUUUAUUAACAUUAAUUAAACUUUAUUUAAAUCUUUAGGUGGUGGCUGUGGUUGGGUCAAACACAGCUUUAAUUAGUUCCCCUAACUGCCAAGCUUCCAAAUUUUCUAAGACUUCCUCCUAACACCGACCCUUAAGAUAAUAAAACUUCAACUAUUGCUUGCAAAGUUGCAAUGCAAAGGUCAACUAGCAUGCGCAGCCAGCAGCUUCAAUAGUUAAUCCCACCCUUCGGGUGGGAACACCCCGUAGUAUUUACCAAAAAAUAGAUUAAAAAAAUUGAAUGUCUAAUUUAAAAGUCGAGCAGAGAGACACGUAUGAAAAGACAAAAAGUCAACCACAAGCUGCUGCAUGAAAUAUUGGUAAAAUGAAUCAACAUGAUUGAAUUGAUGAUGCGGUUGGACCAAUUGCAAUGCACGCCUAAAAAGGGAGACCAGAAUAUAGAUCAUCUGCAAAAAUCAUAUAUUAAAUCUUCGUUUUAUAACCAAUUAGCAGGCCUAUAAUCUGCCAUUUGGGUUUUCUUUAAUGGGUCAAUUGUCAACUAUCUGCAAACUUAGGGAAUGAGCAAGGAGAAAAUCAACUUUUUUUCAAAAAAAUAUCGGCUCGAAAUUCCCAACUGGCUUGACUAACAUGUUCAUUUAUACACAUUUUUCUUUACCCCAACCCCAAAAAGGAAACAAAAAAUAAAAAUUCCCACAAAUCAUCUGAAAACCCAUGAAUCUUAUAAGAAACUAUAUGUCAAAAGGCUAAAAAGAAAUAGAAGAAAGAAAGGAAAAAAAAAAAAAAAGGAAUAAAACUAAUGGUGUCUGGUGUUGGAGCUACGGACCGUGACACCAUGCAAAAAUUUUGUAUAUCCAAGGAAACUAAGCUUUCCAUCUGCGCUUCUGAUCCAAUCUCUGAGGACAGAGUAGGCAGAAGGGCCAAGAUUUAAUUCCUGCAGUGACAGGGUAAAUGCGAUUGAGAUCAAAUCAGAAUUGCAACAGAACUCAGCUGCAGAAAAAAAACAAAAAAAGGACUUCCAUGAUAAUGAAAGAGGUAGAAUUGGACAUACUCUGGCCAAUUCUUCGAUCGAUAUGACUCGGUUACCCUCGCGUUCAAAAUGCUCAAAAGCAGUAGAGGCUAUCUGCUCCCAACCUUCAAGGGCCUCCAAUUGAUGCGUACUGAUUGCGGCCGCACAAAAUUCUUCAAAGUCCAUCGCUCUAUAAGCAAGUGGCUCCAUCUGAAGUCAAAUACAGCAUGGAAUUGAGAAACUGAUUACUACUGAAUUCAGAAUAAUAUAUAAACAAAGAAAGAAAAGAUCGAGCCCGGGAUCUUCUUGAAAAUGGGAAGAUCUAGGAUAGGCGGCCAACCAAAAACUCAUAUUAGAAAGACAAUCGUUUUUUGUUUAUAGGGAAAGGCAGAGUCUGUAAGAAUUUGGCCAAAGGAAAGUGACCUUCUGUUGCAUUUCCUAAAUUGAAAUGACCUCAAAAAUAGAAAUGACUUACAGCAUUUAGUAUAUCAACAACCCUCGACUCCCUCAUCGCCUCAGUUGAAUUUCUUUGAAGAGCCUGCAAAAUUCGAUCUUCUAAGCAUAAAAUGACUUUCUUACAAACAAAAAGAACAACGGGAAAAACACAAGUCCCUCUUCAAAAUAUAUCUCGCUUGUACAGCCAAAUUAAAAGCAUUAGGAGUAGGAAAUAACCGUUUUGAAAUUAAGAAGAGAGACACGUUCAUCAUUAUCUGGUUCCAAAAGCAUGAAUUGGGCUCUAAGAUAUAUCAGCUCAUCCUCUGUCAGGGCUUUCGAAAGAGACUGCAAUUACAACAUGAAAAAACAGAAACACAAUUUUGAUAUCCAUCACAAAGGAAUCUCAAUCCUUACUUGUUGCAAUAUAAUAGACAUUAAUCUAGUGGCAUACAGUUGAAAAUGAUUUUCCAUACUUGCCCCGUGAAAAGUAAAAGAUAUGGCACAUUAAUAAUCACACAACCUUAGACACAGGAAAUAAGAAAGGAAAAAUAAGACAAAAGGGGAUAAAAAGUCACGUAAUUUACUUGGAUUCAGCUAUCUGGAGAAAUUGAGAGGAAAUUAGAAUUUUGCCAAUUUUGUUUCUAUGAGCCAACAGUCUCUCCAAAUCCUGCCUACUUUAUAGAGAGAGUUUAAGAGAUAAAACUAGAAUUUUUCCCUUUUCUUUUCUCUUCCAUUUAGAAAUAGGAACCAAACAAUGGAAAGGAAUAUGGGAAUUUAAUAACAAAACAAAGGGUCAAUUUUUCCAUUAACUUCACCAAUUAAUGUUUCUAUAAAACUAAACAUUGAUUACAUGGGCAAUAUCUUGCUUCAUGUAAUCAAAGAUUAUCAUGAAAAAGUUGAAGAUACAUUCUGCAUUAUCAUAAAUAAAUAAAAAUGUAAAAUUACUUUAACAGGAAUUAAUCAUUGACUAAAAACCAAGAGUUGAAGUUUUGGCAUUCAAGAGCAGAGACGACUAAGUUAAAUAUACUAAUAAUAAUCAGGUGAUAUCCAAAAUCUCUUAAAGUGAAAAAUGCAAUGGGUGAAGGUAGCAAAAACCAUAUUUGGAAAUGAUAAUAAUACCUUAAGUGUUGCACGUUUGAAGGGCGUAGCAUGGAGAUAUGAUUUGACCAAUUUGUAGAUCAAUACAUCUAAAGGAAGGGGACGACUAUCAUUUCGCAACCAUGGGUGAGCUGCCAAUUAUGAGUGAUUAUUAGCUUUAAAUAUCAAAUCGAAAACAUCAAUUAUCAUCACUUUCAAAUAAGAAUGCCAAAGUAAAAUCAAGUUCUGAUUUGGCAAACAGUAUUCAGUGUAAUGUCACUCAUGCUUGUGAUUUGUAAAUAAAUAUUUUGGGGCAUCCAACUAACAAUCAAUAAAGUUACGUAGCUGGAGAUGUUUGGGAUGAUUCUAUCACCAUCUUUUUUGAGAGGAAUGAAUAAAGCUAGUUCAGCAUAUGACACAAUAUAGGUGGACAUUUAGUUCAAAUAUGAUGGACCGACUAAAUGGCAAUCUCCCACCCACUCCCUAAUAUAAUUUUUAUUUUCUUUCAGAAUGUGGGAGGAAAAGACAUAAGACCACCCAAGCAUCAUUAAGAGCAAAGCAUAUCAUCUAAAAUUUCCACCAAUUGGCUAAUCUCUUAGGUACUUUAGACAGCAAUAGAAAGAAAUUUGCUUACCUAAAGCCUGGACAGCAGUCAUUCUUUUCCUGUAGUCCUUAUUCAAAAGCCUUCUUACGAAGUCCUUGGCCUCUAGAGACAUAGAAGGCCAGGGUAAAUCAUCAAAACUCGGAUCAGCUCUUAGCACUGCACGGAAAAUUCCAGAUUCCGUUCGUGCCCAGAAAGGUCGGCUUCCGCAUAGCAGGAUAUAUGUGAUAACACCAAUGCUCCAUAUAUCUCCCUCAAGGCUAUAAGAUCUAUGGAGGACUUCAGGUGCAACAUAGUAUGCACUUCCAACAAUAUCAUUAAGUCUUUCAUCUGCACAUAUAUGCAUAAACGGAUCAAUAAUAAAGGAAAGAUUUCCUCAUAUAAUCUAGUAAGUACCAACGAAUAAAGUCUGAAAUAGAUCUAGCGGUCGAAAGGGCAAAAAGUAUAUUGAAAUUGGACAAUUGAAAAUGUACUGUGCAUGUUGUCCACUGCUGUUCUCAUAAUAUUAUGGCAUUUUUUGGUGCGAAUAAUCAAAUUUAGUUUGUCUUAAAAAAGCUUGAAAAACAAAACAAAUGCUUUAUUUUUUCAAGAGAGGUUAGAUCAGAUAAUUCAUGUUGCAUAGAAUUGGAUUGGACUUGACACAAAUGUAACGUCAUCCAUGGGUUUAACCUUGAGUUGAUAACUAUCAUCAAAUUUAUCAAAUGCAGUCUCAGAUUGACUGCCAAGUCAUGGCACAAUGUUCCAUUUAAUUGAAACAUCAAAUACUCAGGAAAAUCCGAAUGUUGUCCCUUUGAAAAGGAUAACAAUAAAUAAACCAAGUGGUACCUUGAAACUGCAGCUCUAAUAUAUUUAUUAAAUCAAGGAGAAUAUUCAACUUCAACUAACGAGAGAGUAGCAAUGAUCAUCAAAAGUUACCUGGUCUGAUAAAGUCAGAAAGACCAAAAUCAAUGAGCUUCAUAUCAGCAUCUUCACUUCUAGAAGCGAAAAGGAAAUUCUGUUAAGCAGGAAAGAGAGAGAAUAUAUUUAGCACUAAGUUUGGAGGUAGAAACAGAUACGAGAUCGUAAUUAACUGAAGCACAUAUAGGUUGAAAAUCGAAACCUCUGGCUUUAAGUCACGGUGCACAACGCCUUGAAGAUGACAAAAUGCAACAACACUUAAGAUCUGCACAACUAUAUGUUUUGCAUCUUCCUCUGCAUAUCUUCCACCUCUGCAAUUAAGGCGAGUUUUUCAACACAAUUCAGCUUUGCAAUGAAAUGACUAAUAUUUAAAUACUGGCCAAGAAAAUACCUAGAUAAAAUUCUGUCAAGAAGUUCCCCACCUUCACACAAUCUGGUAAGAGAACAAAAAUCCACAGAUGUCAUACCCAAAAAGCAGGAGAAAUAUGGCAUAUGAUGCCUCAACCAGAAAUUUUUUAUACUUCAUCAUUCAACAAUCAUGUAUGCAACACCAACCUAACUGACUAUUUUCACUUAAAUAAAUAAUAUUUAAAAGGAAAGUAUCAGUCAACAUUACAAAACAUAGAUAACAUAAAGAAUGCCUGACCCUCCAAAUAAAAAGGAUGAAAAGAAAACAAGGUAUACAUACUCCAUGACUAUGUAAACAUUAUUGGCGUCUUCACAUGCAUCAUAAAAUUUUACAAGAUGCUUAUGCCCAGAUAGAGCUUUCAAUAUCUUCACCUCUCUACGAACAUCUUCAAUCGAUAUCGCUGUCGUCAUCUGCCAAAUGAAUUUGGUAAGAAAUAAAUACUAUGCAUUUAAAUUGGGUAAUCGAUAUUUGCAAAGUUUCACACCAUUACAGUUAAAGAAAUUUGAGACCUACAGAAAAAGGAAAAGGAAUAUGAGGAAGGAUGACAAUUGUCCAAAUCACUUGUACACGGGUGUUAUCGUACUUCCCCAAAAGCACUCCCAUACAGAUUGUAGACUAUAUACAUUUCCAGCUGUAAAUUGCAGUUUCUGACAACGCGUUGUAAUAGAUCAUAAUACUAUCCCAAUUAUAAAUUACCAAUUUUGACAUAUGCAAGUAGAUAUCUGGGUAAAUGAAAGGGCAAGUUGAGUUCUGAGGCGAGUUAGAUGCAAAUAACUAAAUUUGAAAAGUAAAAACAGUUUACGCUCGUAAUGCAUGCAAGACCUAUGAUGUAUGACACUUCAUUCAAGACCUAGGAUGUAUGACACUGAGGAACAACCAAAUGUACCUUUGACUAGUCAUUUCAGAAACUUAAACAAUUCUUAUUCGUUGAUUACAAUAGUUAAGAUACAUGGAAGAUGGGAAAUCGAAUAAUUACGAUUUUGAACAAAACUGUCGCGUACCUAGUUUGGGGACUUCGAUGAUUACGUAAUCAUUACAGAACGAUAAUUAUCAUGCAUUAAUGCAACCAGGGCACGAUGACACGUUAGCUAAAUUCUGCAGAGAUGGCAACGUGGACGCAGUGAAAACGCAACGUAAGAUUCUAAGUACGUCUGAGCUGAACACAUCAUCUUCAUGCUGCAUAUCCCACAUCAUUGUGGGAUACAGCAAACAGAUCAGCCCUUAUCUUUUCUUCUUCAGUAAGAAAUUAAUAUUCAGUAUCUAGUUCAUAAAUUCUGUUUAACCAGAAGAAUUACCAUCAAUGUGGUUUCUCUAUAUAUGCAUUUUAUAUGGUUCUUUUCUUCUUCUCCAUGCAUUACAUUUCCACAGCUAUUUCGUUCCUUUUCCAUUUCUUAUUAAAUCGCAAAUGACACCACCUAAUAUGAACUCAAAAGUGGUUCCCCUAAGACAUAGCCAUUCCAAUCCCCAUACAUUUCCCACUACAGUUUCGACAUGACAAUAAUGGAAUAUCUUCUACAUAAAGAUAACUCAUUUAAGUUCCCACUAUACCAUAAUUUAUAUAUAAACAGAAUUUGCAUUUCAGAAACAACAAUUACUAAAAAACCAAAGAAAGGAAUAUACAAUUGAUAGCAUAGGUCGAUUGUACCUUGGCUUUGGAAAUGAUCUUAACAGCCACAGGCUGGUCCUUGAGCUCGCCCUUCUUGCCUCUACCAGAACAAGUAUGACCAAAAUGCCCUCGCCCCACUUCCUUCCCUAGCUCAUACUUAGCUCCAAAAUUCUUCCCAUACCCGAAACUCUUGUCCAGCAACUGUUCCGGUUCAACUCCGUGCUCCUCGGGAAUCGGGCUCUCCUUGGGCUUACCGAACCGCUUGGCUAGAGACGCCUUUAUAUGCUUCGCCGGAGAAGGAGGCGCGAACCUCCGCCGGAAAAACCUCCCCGGAGUCGACGACCUCGCCGGUGACGGCGAUACUCCCGCUGGCAAGGGGCUAGCCGAAACGCCUUGCGGGUAGGGGCUCGGCCACGGGCUAGGGUUCGACGACCGGGCCGGCGUGUUUUUCACGCUGACGACGCCGUUUUGCGAGCUAUGCGGCGUACUCUGAGGUUGGUGCACGGAGGUUGUGAUGGUGGUUACGGUGGUGGCGACGGUAGUUACGGUGGUUGCGUUCGGCUCAUUUUCAGUCGUCGGAAUACUCUUGCCGUAGCACUGGCCCAUCGUCGAAGCUCACUCCGGCGGUGUAUCGGAUCACGAGCCCAAGUCAAAGUCCGCACAUCUGACGGCCCGUGUCGAAUCUGAGUCGACUCUCGCCGGCGAGAGACGACAAAAUGAGAAAAUGAGAAAAUGAGAAAUUUGAGAUCUACGGCGAGAAAACGAUAAACCAAGAGAAUGAAAGAGAAUUUGAGUCAGGAGAGAAAGAGAGAGAGAAAGCAAGAAAGGAAGAGAGGGACCGAGACAGAAUGAGUAGGGGCCUUCUCUGUUGAGACACAAGGAGCCAAGUGAUGGGAGAUUAUAAGCUACUCGCCUCCAUACAAAGAAACGAAAUCUUCGACAGAUUCUGGACCGUCAGAUUUGAAUAAUCACACAUGGAUGGUCAAAAUCAGAGUUUGAAAAUGAUUGCGAGAAUGAACGGUUGGAUUUAGCAUGCUAGUAUACGUUCUACGUGCUCUAGAAUGUACGCUAGUAUUCUCACUCCUUGUGCUUCUGUGUACAACUCCUUUUGAUUUUGUCUCUUGCUUCUUUGUUUGCGUUUUUUGUAAUAUUUAAAUUCAAAAAGGGCUUUUCGGGAAAGGGAGGAUAAAUAUUCUGUGCGGUUUGGUGUACGGUGUUUUAAUGGAGCUGCUGAGCUUUGACUAGUUAAUGAUGGUGGGUGAUUAAAUUUACCCCGUUUUGACAGGUGGCAGGCUAGUGAGGUAUCGAGGAGAAUUGUCGUUCAAGGUGUGCGUAGCAGGGGAUAAAAAAUUUGGAAGCGGAUUUGAGUGAGUCAGAACUGACGAACAUGCACAGCCUGGUCCGAAGGUUCGAAAUAGGUGGCGAUCCGGUGGGAGACUGAAGAAAAGUGAAUGGGCUGUGCCCCUUUUUCUGCCGUUGAUCACCGCCUUCAGUUAGUUGACUUUGAUUUACUUCAUUAGAGUACAUCACUGUAGAGUGUAGAGAUAAUUAUGCAGUAGCUCUAGGCGAGGAAAAAAAAAGGGAUAAUUAAGCAAGUUUUAUGUAAUGAAAAUUGCAAGCGGGCCUAACUCAAUUAAAAAGGAUCUUAACUUGUAAAUCAGAAGUUUUAAAUUCGAACUUAAAUUUGUUAGUGUCUUGAAAAUUACAAUCCAACAAUUUAUUUACAAUACCAGUUAUAGUCAGGAUAAUUAAAUUAUUGAGAAAAUGGCACUGGUGUCCUUGUGAUUAUAUUUAUAUUUCUUCUUCAAAUUCUGAUUCUUGUCAAAUCCUAUAAUCUCAUUGACCAAAAUAAAAUUCCUAUCAUCUUAAAUUUAAAUUUAAAAUAAACCCCAUGUUGUUUUUAAUCAUUAUUAAGUCAAGGUCAUUUUAUUAGUGGUAUUGAGUCUUUAUUUUGUUAGAUAAGGCUAUUAGUUGAAAUCUCAUAAGUACGAGAGUUUGGUAUAAAUAAAUGUGGACAUUUGAUGAGGGCAAUAAGAAUAAGUUGUCUUUGUAUUGCUUUGCUUCUUACGGUUUAUUUUUCACGUUAAGAAAUAGUUGAAAGCAGUAAUUGAGUUCUGUAUUGUGCACUAAAACAGGCCUUACUACAAAAAUGAAACACAAAUAUUGUUAUUAACUAAAAUAGGCCUUACUUUUGUUUCGAACUACAAAUAUUGUUGAAUAUUUCUAAAGAAACUCGUAUUAAUACUAUGGUUGAAUCACAAGUUUUAUUUUUACGUAAUGUUUUGUGUGGUCAGACUGGACUGGACUAUUUGAAUUAAAACGGAUGAGAAUCUUGAUCGUUGUUUGAUGAACAUAAAAUGUUGAGACUAGAUUCAUUGAAUUAGACAACAAUCCAAAUUGUCCAAUAUAUACAAACUUGAUCUAGAGUGGUGAGACAGAUAAAGAUUAUCUUAGGCAUAAUUCUCCUUGUUGUAUAACUGAAACAAUUAGAAUAAGGGUUGCAAAACAUGAACAUGUCAACUUUCCACUUACUCCCACUGGCCGCAAUAUCUUUGUCUAAGAAGACGUUAAGUAAAACUUGUGGUGAUGGGAUGAACAACCCUCUUAUUGCAUCAAAUGAUUUGACUUGCUCGAAAGGCUUAUAUACAAAAGGACAGUAUUUUUAGACCUACUAUUUUAUCCAAAACGCUAUUGAUUACACCAUGAGAAGACCUUGGAGGUUCAAAACCACAAGCCAACAAAUAAUUAGAGCGCAAGCAAAUAGCUUUGUUAAUGUCAUUAGAAAACCUACCCUUGUGGCUCUAUUAUAUAAUUAUACUCCAAUAUGAGAAUAUAUUAGGUAUCUAUAUGAUUUACUAACUGCAUUACGCUUCUCAAAAGUACCUUUUCAAACAACAACAACAAAAUUCGCAACAACUAAUAACAUAUUGUAUACAUUUUUUGAAAUUAGGGUCGACUUUGAGAUUCUAGAAGUUCCAAAUAAACCCUCGAGGUGAGACUCUUCCGACCUACAUGUAUUUUACAUGGAUAAAGAAAAAGUCAAUUACUUCCAAAAAUUUCUUUCUGUUAUAUCUUAGAAAAAUGAAGACCAUAAUUUCAAAUAAUCAACAAGUUUAUAUAUUUAGGAAGCAUUGCCAUGGGUCACGUUGACUUAUUCUAUCGAUCAACAGCUCAGGAUAACUACAAUGCCUUUAAAUUUUAAUACGAUGUCCGACCACAUGACUUAGAAGUUAAGAGGGAUAUCGUGGAUGUUGUAAAAUACUAACUACAUUUAAUUACGUCAAUAGUAUUAUAUAUAUAUAUAUAUAUAUAUUUGGAUACAAAAGAGGACCAAAAAAGUGAGAGAUAGAGAUGUUUUAUAUUGUUUUUUGUUUUUUUGGGAAUUAUUUAUUUAUUUUAGUAUGAGUGAUAGUCUAAAUUACAAGGAUAUAAAGGUUUCUCACAGCGCCAUGGGGUUCAAACCUGAGACCACUAAUCUGCAAAUUAAGGUAGCUUUUUACUGGACUAGACCCCGUUGGAAAAAGAUACUUUAUUGAAAGUCUUGAGUACGAAUGUGAUUUGACCCAAAAAAAAAGGUACGUAUGUGAUUUGACCAAAAAAAAAGGCAUGUAACAGAGAGAUAAUGGAUUUCUCACACACACACAUUACCAAAGUAUUAUGAAAGUUCAAACUUAAGAUAACUUAUAUACAAAUCAAGUCCUUUUACCAUGUGAUAUUAAUACUAUUACAAGUUACAACUCGAAACUACAAACCCUUACCUCACAACUAAUUUCGUUGAAUUCAAAAGGCCAAGUGCCUGGGCAGGAAAAGAGGUUGGUAUGUAUAGAAGCAAAAGGCUUUAAGGCUGCCAAAAGAAAAAAUCACCCCACAAUAAAUCAAGGUUGGCUUCCCCAACUCAUUCGGUUUGGUUUGAUUAAAAGAAGUGGUUGGUUUGAUCCACAAUAAAUCAAGGAUGCUAUUUUCACCUCCUAUUCUAUUUUUUCAUUCACUGUGUAAAUUUGAAAAAACAUGAUCAUAUCUUUCCACUCACCAUUAUUUCUAAAAUACCCUUUAAUUAUUAUUUUCUUUUUAUCAAAAAUAAUAAUUUAAAAGAUAAAAAAAGAAGCUUAAUGGAACUUUAACAAUUAACUCCUGCAAAUCGUUAUUCUUCUUUUCUUUUUUCUUCUUUCUUUCUCUGCAGUUUCUCCACCCAAUUGCAUAGGGUUUUUUUUCCCUCUUCUUUACUCUAAGUUUGGUUGGUUUUGGUGGUGGCUUGAGAAAAUUCGGGGUUGGGACCUGCGAAUUGAAGGGUAGUCUCAUUGUUGAGUUGGAGGGUUUGUUAGGAGAGGCUGUAGGAAGCAAUGACAAACGUAGUUGGCGUAUUGAAUUAAAUUGAAUUUGAACGAUUUUGAUUAUUAUGUAGAGAUCAGUUAAGUCAUUAUAAAGAGAGUCUACCCAAAAUAAAAAAAAUAAAAAUCUUCUGUUUUGGAGAGUUUGUUUAGGGUUUAGGAAGGAAGAAGGAAAAACUAAACCUGUGCAAUUGGAUGGAGAAGCUACAGAUAUAAGAAAUAAGGAAAGAAAAGAAACAAAAAACAAAAAAAAGAAGACUAAACUGAUUUGGGGGAGAUAUUGACCCAAAAAAAAAAAAAAAGAUUGGGGAAGAUGUUGCAAUCAAAACAAAUAGUAAAGGGGGAGAGGUUGAAGAGAUAGGAAAUAGAAGGGGAAAAAAAAAGGUAAAUGACGGCAGGAGUUAAGAUUCAAAUUGUUAAGUUGCAUUAGAGUUUUUUUUUCUUUUUAAUUAUGAAGAAAUUCCAAUUCAUUGGAUUAAAUUUUAAUAAGGUAGCAUAAGUCCUUAAGGGUAUGUUUGGUACGCUGGACUAGCCAGGACAGUGUUAAAUAACACUUUGAAACCAGCGUUUGGUGAAAGAGGGACUAAAAUAAAUGGGAUUGUAUAGUCCGUUGGUUAAAAAAACAUCGGACUCGCUCGUUUAAUAUUGCGAGGAUGAAAUGCGGUUCACAAAAUAGAGAGUGUGCUAUUUUGAACGCACGAGUCCAACCAACGCAGCCUUCACUCUCAUUCUCUUCCUCUCGAACGACUGGAAGACCUCCAUGGCGGUGACUAGCUCGUCGAACUUGAUGGUGGUGCGGUUUCCGUUGGCAAGAGGACUUGGAGCUGGUAGCUGGUAGCUGGUGGACUUGACGCCAAGAGACCAGAGCAAGUCAGCGAGCUCGAGCUGGGUGAGGCUGCCAUCAGAGUCCAUGUCGAAUCGCAUGAAGAUGUUUUUCAGCUGCUUCUGCUGAUUGGAGCCGUGCAGCCAUCGUUCUGGUAAUGGCCAAAGAAGAAGAAAGGGAUUAGAACGGCCAAAGAAGAAGAAAUGGAUGAGAUAAGAUCCCAAUUGUGUUCUGGGCACUUGGGCCUUUUAAAAAAAAUUUAAAAAAAUUAAUUUUGUGGUGUGGUCUGGUUUGUGAAAAGUUAUGGUGUGGGGCUAAUUGGCUUCUUUUUUAGGUUUUUCCCUUUGAAAAUUUGGAAAGAAAGACAGACAUCCAGUAUGAAGAUGGGAAAGGCAAAGGUAUAGGAAGAUAAUAUAAUUUUUUAAAAAAAUAAAUUUAUAAAUUCUAAAUUAUUUUUUUCACACAUCAGCCCCAAUUAAAUAUUUCUAAUUAAAUAUAAAUAUUUUUCAUGUCAAAAUUCUUAAUUAAAUUUAAAUAUUAUAAUAAUGAAUUUUUAGUCCGACACAGUCCCAAACAUAGGUCUUCACUAUUUUUACAAUCCAGCUUUUUAGUCCGACGCAGCACCAAACGUAGGUCAGCACUUAAUCCAGCUUAGUCCAAUCCGAGCUAAUCCAAGACAGUCCCAGGAUUUAGUCCAGUCCAUGACAGUCCGCCGUACCAAACGACCCCUAAAAGUCAUUUUACAAAGGGCUAAAUUUGUCCUUAAAAUUUUGAAGAUAAGGUGGGUGGGAAAAUAGGAAAGGAGAGUGAAAAUAGUAGCACUCUUUUCCAUAUUGCUUUGUGCAUGCCAAAGGUACCAUAAAUUUAACAAUAAAUGGGAAAACUUUGAAUAUGGAGAAAUUUGAAAGAAAUAUAACUUCUAAUUCAAAUGAUUUAAAGAUGUUAUAUUUUGAUAUUAAAUAGUAUAUAUCAAUGUGUUGGAUAAAAAUAAUAGUAAAUGGUGAUGAUCAAUAAAAAAUUGCUAAAUGCUUAAAUAAAUACAUAAUUUGAGUUGGUUCAAUUCAAUUAUUAUUGUUGUCAAAGUUAGGAAGGAGAGGGGGGAAUUCAUACACAAGGAUACCAUAAGGGAUUGAACCUAGGAUCACUUGGGAGCACACCAAGGCCUCGUUAGAUGGUCCAUAUAGGACAUGAUUGGAUUUAACUUUGUAUUUUCGAUUGGACUUCUGGACCAGACUUUGAGUAUGUUGUUUGAUGUUAUACCUACUUUCUGUUGGCGAGUUCUUACUUAGUUAGGAUUUUGGUUCCUUAUUUAGUUAGAAUUUUGGUUAUUUAUCAAUUAUUAUUUAGUCCUAUUAUAAUAGAGAUUUAUUUCUUAUUGUAAUUUAGAUAUAUUUUCUAUUUUAUUUAGGGUUAACACAUCUUUGUACUUGUAUAAAUACCUCCAUAUUUGAGAAGUAUGAGAAUAUGAGCAUAUCUGAAUAUUUGCCCUACUUUGUUUGACUUGGUAUCAGAGCUAGGUUUUCUUGUGACAUGUGCUUGUGCUCUCCUUGCAAUUUAAAUACUCUCCUCCCUUCCUCUUCAAGGGAAAGGGGGGAAGAGGGAGGAGGGAGGGGAAGGGGAGUGAAAAUGAUAUGUUUAUUGACAUAUCUCCAUUACCUUGACGUAUUCCCAUGAAGAUAUUACCUAUUUAUUGACUUCGACAACUCCUUAGGGGGAGAAGGAGAGUGAAGAGAAGUUGUAUCUGCAUGAAUUAGCUAAAGUUGAUAUGACAGAAUUGUCAUCGUUUUCAGCUACCAUUUAUGUGGUAGUUGCCGUUUUCGUGGCCGCUGCUACCGCUUUUGAUGUUGCCUUUAUUUGCUUUAAUUUUCGUUGCUAUGGUUAUUGCCGAUGCCAUGUUGCUAUGUUUUGAUCUAUCUCUACAACAUAAAAAACCCUAACCCUAACCCUAAACUUAUUUCCGAUGACUAUAUACCUAGCCUAUAAUCCUAGCCCGUCGAUGUUGUCUACCUUGCUACCGUUGCUACCGCUUACCUUUUUAUUGCCACCGUUACCUCCACCCCACCAUUCAUCACCAUAUCCAAUGUUGAUGCCUUUAUUUCUUCACUUGCUUUUGGUUUUACUUCACCUACUGUCGUGCUCACAGGAUUUCUGUUUUCUGCCUUAUCUACUACCAUGCUCACAGAAUUUCUGUAUUCUGCCUUACCUAUUGUCGUGCUCACAGGGUUUCUAUGUUCUGCCUUGUCUACUACCGUGUUCACAUGAUUUCUGUGUUUUGCCUUAUCUACUGUCGUGCUAGCAAGGUUUCUGUAUUCUGCCUUAUCUACUAUCGUGCUCACAGGAUUUCUGUGUUCUGCCUUAUCUACUGCCAUGCUCACAGGGUUUUUGUGUUUUAUUUUUAUGUGUUUGUGCCUUAUUUGUUAGGGUUUGUCAAUUGUUUCACUUGGGGUUUAUGACAAGGUCUUCUUUACAGUUGUUCAAUUGGUCAAUGUCGAGUAUGGUGUUCUAUGACUCGUUUGUCAAGUUGGGCGUGCGAAAUAUCUUUGCCCUAACUUAAGGGGGAGUGUUGGCGAGUCCUUAUUUAGUUAAGGUUUGAUUCCUUAUUUAGUUAGAAUUUUAGUUACUUAUCAAUUAUUAUUUAGUCCUAUUGUGAUAGAGAUUUAUUUCCUAUUUUAUUUAGGAUUAACACAUCUUUGUACUUGUAUAAAUACGUCUAUAUUGGAGAAGAAUGAGAAUAUGAACAUCUGAAUAUUUGCCAUACUUUGUUUGACUCUUUCAACUGGACUAGAUAACAUAAUAAUUUUGAAAAUUUUGGAAAACAUAAUGGCAAAACAUAAGGAAAAAAAAGAAGUUAAACUGAAACAAAAGAAAACAUCGAUUGUAUGAAGCUAUGAAACUUGAAAGAUUCACCACAAGAAAAUCUGAACAUUUUCGAAAAAAGAAAUCAACCCCAAAUCAUGAAUAGCCAUGGCACACCACACAAACACAACAUGAAUACCCAUAAAACAAACAAAUCAACCCCAUAUCAUGAGCUUAAACAAGACCAAAACGACACCCAAAUUUCCCAAAACCAAAUCCUAUUUGCAUCACAAACACCAAUCUGAGAUCAGCACGAAAACCCUAGAUCACAAAAGUAAUGACCAAAAAAAAAGAAAAAGAGAGAAUAAGAUGAGAAAGGCAAAUACCAGGAGAUUGCAAGAUUGAAUUUGACAGAAUCAAAGAAUUUGAGAUGGCAGGAGAAAGGAGAGGGGGGAGAGAGAGUAGAGAGAAGAGGACAAAACCAUAGAACACAUGAUGCGAAGGAGGUUGAGGGAGAUGACGAGGAGCUCGCGUUCGCGAAGAUGAAGAGGAGCUCUUGUUCAUUGUAAACCCAAGUUUGGAGUUGGGUUCCAAAGCCGUAGUUAUUUGAGACUUGGCUCUAAGGUCCAAUAUCCAGUCUGUGAUACAAUUAAGCCCAUCAAGCAACAUAUUGGAUCUAUGUCUAUUUUAAUUGAAUAUAUCCAAUUCAAUUCAGCUCAUCAAAUAUAACCUAAAAAUUUGAGCCAAUCCAACUAACAGUCCCGAUCUCUUGGACCACAGGAGUUCAAGAGAAUGUGGUUACUCACCGUUGGAUGUAAAUUCAACGGUUCACUCACUCUUGCACUUCUUUUAAAAAACUUUUUUAAACCGUUGAAUGUUACAUCCAACGACGGGUGACCAUAAUCUCUUGGACCCCUGUGAUCAGAUGGUUUUCUCGGCCACUCCCUAUUAAUAGUUGAUUCGAUUCAAUUCAAGAUUAUUAAUUUAGUAUAAAAAAUAACCAAACUGCUCCAAUAAAUUUUGUUUGACCGGCCUAAAUGGUCAGAUGGUUUUCUCGGCCACUCCCUGACCAGUCGAGAUAAAUCCUCGCUUAUGUGGUUUUUUCUUGGGGUUGGGUCAAUACUUGCUUAUGUGAUUUUGGUUCAAAAUUUUGGGGCAAUAGAUGGGUCCAAAAUUAACUUGGUCUUGGAUUUCAAAACUUGGGCUUCUAUGAACCCAGUUCAAGUUGUACGGUCUAAAAGCGGUUGAUCCAUUAGGAAGACUUGUAUAAUUAAUGGCAGACCAGUUACAAAAUUGAUCAUAUAUGGCUUAUUGCUGGUCAAACUAACUUCAGUCUUCCUGUUCAUCCGUCAGCGAUCAAAUUGGGCUCCAGAAAAUCCUAACAUUAGCAUGUGCCAGUAGGUCGCCCCUUCCGUCGAUUUGAACAUAAUUGCGUGGUGAAACAUAGAGUAUGAUAUCAAUUGUUGAGAACUUAUAAUAGAAUUUGUCUGUAAAAAUCAGCUUUUAAAGGAAGGAUGUUUAAGAACAACCACUCUAGGAUAUGUUAUUUUUUAAAUGCGGGAUUUUUUUUAUUUUUUUUUUGGUCAAAGAUAAAUUCAUUAAACCCAAAACGGGAAACAGGAGAAAUUUGAAAGUAGCAAGCAGAGUGCUGAGACUGCAGACACUAUCCAAACAUAGCUUAGUGCACGAGCAAUCUCAGCAAAGAUAAAAAAUUACAUUACAGGUGGGCAUGGAAGCCCAUUAGAACUUAAGUCCUAAAGUUUAUACUGUUUCGAUCGGCAAAAUACAUUGUUGGAUAAAACCCUAUAAAGAACAUGUGCAUUUUUUAUUUAAAAAAUCUCAUCCACCCACGCAUAAUGAAGAUUAUGAUAAAGCAACAACCUAACCAUACUUUUCCUUAUAUGCAUUUGAAUAUAAGAAGAAACUUAUAACUUAAAAAAUCCAAAGAUAUAUGAAGGAAUGAGUUGAAUUCAUUUCUAAUUAUCUUAAGGUUUAAUUAAUAUAGAGGACGAUUUGUUAAGAAAGAUCAUUCGAGUUGUUGUGGUUCAAUUGAGAUAAGCCAUUACACAAACUUUCACCUAAUAUUGGUCAUAUGAAUAUAUGACCUUACAAAUUAGGUCAGCCGGCAGUGGAUGAUCAACUCGAUCAGAUUCUUUGAGUAGCUUGAAAGCAACGCAGCAACGCACACACAACACAGCAGGACCAGAAAUAUAGUAUAUGCUUCCUCCUCUUCACUUCUUUUUCAUUCCUUUCUUUAUGUACUGUUUCUUUUUGCAUGAGCUUCCUCCACCUCCUUUCCAAAUUAAUAUGCUUUAAAAACAAGCAUAUGAUUCGCACUUUCAAUUAAUAUAGUAAGGACAGUUUGGUGGACUGUUAGCUUGGAUCAAUCAUAGUAAUAAUCAUUAUGCAUUAUACGGAGGAGGAUUAAACUCAAGCGUACGAUCAACGACAGAUACUCUACUUUGGCCAAUCGACUUAACUCACAUAAGCACUUAUAUCACAUAAUAUUUUUUGGGCAUAUAUGUAUGAGGUACAUAAACUUGCUUGAAAUGGCAGAUCGUCUUAAAGGCCUUUGUUCAUAGUUUACAGGCCCACAGUUCCAGUACAGAAUUUACCCCACUUCUGGAAAUUAAAUAUAUAUCUUGAGAAUUAAAAUUUAAAACGCAAGCAUAAACUUUUGCUAAUCUGGAAACUUGAUUAUGAAUAUGAAGAGGUUUGUCUGUUAAUAAACGCAUAUAAUAAUAUACAAAAAUAUAUAAUAAUAUAUAUUGCUAUGCACCGAUGGGAGAUGGACACUUGUGAUGAACAAAGGCUGUGACAAAACAAAACUGUGAGAAGCAACAACACAUGUGAAAGCCAUUGGAUUGGUGGUGGGGACCAUGCAAGGCCCACCGUUGGAUUGGAUCAAUAUCCUGCGGUAACACAGUAAUGACAGAUGCCUGCAUUUGCAUGACAUGCAUGGGCUUGUUCACGUGCCACACCGUUUUCCGCAAUUUGCAUUUAAUAAGACUUACCCCAUACUCAGGCCACACCAUAUGCUUUAUGGACCAAACCAUGGGCUUUCACUUGGGGUGUAUCACCCCAAAAAUAAUUUAGGCAAUACAACAAAAAUAGACGGGAGAGUUUUUCUUGUUUAGAAGAAGUUAACUACGUGAUUUGAACUCGAGAUUUUUUUCAAUAAGACGGAGACACUAAUGUUUUACUAGACUAAAUAAUCAUUCGUAAUUGAGAAAAGUCUUAACAACGGAAACAUUUUAUUAAGGUUUAUUUAUUCAUCAGUCAAAAGAAGAUCUUAGGUUAAAUUUAAGUUACGUACUUGCUUGAAAACUAAGUCCAUCAAGUACUGAAGUCUUUAUGACUAGCCUCAUAUGCUUGAACUUAAUUUUGUUUAAACCUGAUUUUUUGUUUAAUGUUGGUGUAAAGUACUCAUUAACCCACAACACCAAGGUAUUAUUAUUAUUAUUAUUAGUAGGUUUGGAAUAAGAAUGGAACAUGGCAUGUGGCCACGUGACUGGUAUGGGGGUUGUCUUGCAAAAUUCAAAAACAGCCAGACGACACGCCAUUUUCAGAUGGGUCAUGCUAGGGAGACCAACUUUAGAUACCAACUUGUGUACCAACUCUCUAAUAGAGGUGGAGCCCACCAAUACAAUGGGUCCCACACUCUAUUAGAGAGUUGGUACACAAGUUGGUAUCUAAAGUUGGUCUCCCUAGCAUUUUCCUUUUCAGAUACUCAAAUAAAUCCAAAGCAUCAAUUCCAAAGCUUUGUUUCAUUAUCCCACCAAAAAAAGAUCCAUACUUUGCCAAUUCCCAACACCAAACGUGAAUAGUGAACAGUUUUUUCAUCCAAUUAUUUGGAACGUUUGAUUGAGCUAAGAAGAUGGUCGUAUAGAGUGGAUGAUGGGACAUCCUAGGUCAAAAAGAAAAUUGUACCACAAGCCUCUUAAGCACGUGGAAUUUAUGGAUAACGUUUCUAAUAUACCAUGUAUACUUGUUUUAUUUAUACAACAUUUGGCCAAAGGCCAUGAACUUCCUUAAUUACACUUCACAAUUUCAAACUAGAUUUAACAUAACAUUGUUAAUGUUAAUUUAUGGAAAAAUCAAUUAUCGUAAUCAAGGAGAAUAUAGAUUUUCGCUAACGAGUGUGAUCAAGGCACAACAAAUGCUGAUAGAAGUGAUCAAUAUGACAUAGUUUUGGAAAUAUAAUGUUAAGAAAUAAGUUGUUGAUUGAUGGAAUUGAGGCAUGAUUAUUAAUAUUAAACUAUUAAUUUAGAGAGCUGAUUUUUUUAUUUCUCUUUUGUCCACUUAUACUCCCUUUUAUACUAAUCUCUAAUUGAAAUUGGAUUUUAAAAUAGUAAUUAAGGUGAGGGAAAUAUAAAAUUGUUGGUUGAUGGAAUUGAGGCACAAUGAAAUGAAAUCUACCAACUCAUACCAACCUCUAUAGCUAGUAAUAGUAUGUGUGCCUCUUAUUUGGUCGGAUUAUACAAACCAACAUAAUGUUAUCUUAAACACACUAGACAUUUAAUUUGUACUAGAAUUAUCCAUAAAGUGAUUCUUUCAAAUGGAUAGCUUCUUCACACACACACAGCAAUGGCCCCUCCACCCAUCUUCACGCCUUCCUUGUUCAACAUCUGUAUCAUUGUUUAAUGAAUUUUAACUUUCACUUGAGUAACUUCCAAGGCACACACUCACUCUCAUAUCUGGUUGUCUCGUAGUCAUUUGUCACCUCUCUCUCUCUCUCUCUCUCUCUCUUCUCUCUCUCUCUCAAAGCUCAAAUACGCAAGAAAAAUAAGAGAUGCAAAUCACUCGAACAAGAAGAAAAAGCAAAAAGUCUCAAUCACCCUCACCACCACCACACCCUCCCUCUUCAACUUUCAACCCAAAACCCAAUAAUAAUCACUCAUCCCCCUCUUCCAAGCAACCCUCUUUCCACCUCUUAGUCACCACCAAACCCACCUCUCCUCCUCCUCACCCUCUCUCUAAAUACCCAACCCCCAUUUCAUUUUUAUAUUCUACGAACACACACUCUCUCUGUUGUCUUUUAACUUUCACUCUGUUUUAGACUUUAGGCUUUUAUUAUCACACAUUAGUUGUUGGGUUCAUUGGUUUUAUUAUUUUAGUUUAGAAAGCAGAAUGGCCCGGCUCUUCCGAUCCAAAUCUUGCCAUCUCGUUGGACUCACUGAGUUCAACAUUGCCCCUCCGAGCCCAUUUUCCCACCACCAUAACAACAAAGACGUUGAUGGAGAAGAUGAAGAAGAAGAAGAAGAAGAGGAAGAGGAGAUGGAAGAGCUGGAAUAUGAGGACUUGGGUUAUGAAGAUGAGGUUCAAAACAAUCCCAUGUCGGCCCCAUUUCUUUAUCCCACAAGUAGAGCCCAUGGGAGCAAUAAAGGUCGAGACUUUCAUGCUCAUAAUGGUCACCAGCAGCAAAACCAGUUUGCUGUACUGGACAUUUUGGUGGCUGCUCUGAGGAAGUCUUUGAUAACUUGCAGUGUGGAGAGGGAUGACGUGGCUUCCUCUAUCGAUAUCAGUUCUCCUACUGAGGUGAGGCAUGUUUCGCAUGUCACAUUUGACAGGUUUAAUGGGUUUCUGGGUUUGCCCACUGAGCUUGAGCCUGAGGUCCCCAGGAAGGCGCCUAGUGCCAGGUGAGAGCUCCUUUGAUCUUUUUGCAAUUUUGCCUUCUUCUUUUUUUCUUUUUUCUUUUUUUAAAUUUAUAAUAAUAAUUAUUAUUUGUUUAAAUAAUUGGUUGAGGAUGAAUUUGUGGAAUUUAUGAAUUGACUUGGUUAUCUGGAAAUUUUGGGCCUUUGGGUUGGUUUGAAGUACCAGUUGUCUGAAUUUGAAAACUUUGACAGAUUCAAGUUCAUUCAUACUUGGAUUUUAUGUGUGUGUUUGUGGGGGUGUUUUUCUUACUUGCUACUUUGCUUUUAAUAAUGAAAUUGAAAAAUUAAUGGCAUUAUGUUGUUCUCUUGUAGACUUCUAAAUCAGUUUCUGUGAUUUCCGGUCUUGUUUUGGCUUCUCUUUUGAAACUCCGCAAUUUUAUGUCUGGUUGGCUUGUCAAAAUUGGUCUUUCUGAUUCUGGGGUUCCCCUGAAAGACAAAUUAACCAAGUGGCUUACUUUAAAUGGUUUUUUAUUUUUUAUAAACACAAUUGGCUUGAGUCUUGACCAAGGUUGUGAAUCCCCUUCUUUGUGUUCGUCACAAUCACAACCAUUACCGCCUUAACUGAUCUCCUCAAGAACAGAGUUCCCCUGUACUUAAUGAAAAUUGUCUGAGGAUACUGAUUUAAUUUAAGUUCAUAUUUGGGGAGGGAAUUUAGAGAGGGAAGGAUGAUUUGAUUCUGACCUAAUGAGAUUGUUUCACCUUUUUAGUGCUUAUAAUUUGUGCUUCCUGCCAUAUCAUAGCUUUUGCUAUUCUGCCUUGAACUUGAUUGAAAGUGUUGGUAGGCACUUAGGCAGAUAAGGGAAUGUAACAUGGAAGGGAUUUAUUGUCUUUCAUUUUGUUUCUAUAGCGAUGGGUGGAGUGAUUCUAAUUAUCAAAGGAAACCAUUUGGUCUGUUCGGUUUGCAGUAGCGAAGAUUGUUAAAAACAUCUUAUUGUGCAAAUGGAUUUGCAUAGGGUGGAAAAAAAAAUUGUUAGUUUUUAUUCUUUUUGUUUUCGUGAGUAGAUUGUACUAAAAAACUAUCUGAAGGUAGAUUUGGGAAACAUAUAUGUGGGUCUGGCAGAUGGGAGUUUCUGUUUCAGCAGUUUGAAUAUAUGUCUUACAUCAUUUCCUUGAGUCCUAACAUCAAUGUUCCUGUACCAUUCUAUUUGACUAAGGACUAAUGGGAUACGCUUCUUUUCAUCCAGUGCAAGUGUGUUUGGAGUCUCUGCCAAGUCAAUGCAGUGUUCUUAUGAUAAUAAAGGAAACAGUGUGCCUACAAUACUUCUUAUGAUGCAAAAGCGAUUGUAUUCAGGAGGAGGCCUUAAAGUAAGUUUGGUUUCUGAAUUAGUAGCCAAGUUUUACUUGUAUGUUUCUUUGCACCUCUGACAAAACAUGUGGUGUUAUUUCAUUCUCCUCCUGGUUAAAGGCAGAAGGAAUAUUCAGAAUAAAUGCUGAAAAUGGCCAGGAAGAGCGUGUUCGGGACCAAUUGAACAAAGGUGUAGUCCCGCAUGGAAUUGAUGUUCAUUGUUUGGCAGGUUUGAUAAAGGUAAAUAUAUUUGGCAUUUCUAAGAAAAACUCCUCUAUUAUGCGUUUGUAUACAUUUUGAAAUAUAUAGCCACUGGCUCCUUCUUCAGAAUGUUUUGUAUUGUUAAAAAUGUUAGUGGACUUCCAGUUUUUCCUUCAAUCUUUCAAAUUCUUGAUCUUAAAUAAACCCUCUUGAAUUAAACCUUUCAUUUAUGAUAUCUAAAAUUAUUUUUUUAACUUUGGGUUUGUGCUCCUCUUCCUUUUCUUUCUUUUGGUUGUCAACUUCUUCUUCCUCCUUUUACUAAUGGGUGCUCCCCCCCACCCCUCUCCCCUUCUUAAACCUUUCAGGCAUGGUUUAGAGAGCUUCCUUCAAGGGUACUUGAUCCACUCACACCAGAACAGGUGCUGCGCUGCAACACAGAAGAUGACUGCACAAGACUGGUGAAGACACUUCCUCCAACAGAAGCUUCACUGCUUGAUUGGGCCAUCAAUCUGAUGGCAGAUGUUGCGCAGAAUGAACAGCACAACAAGAUGAAUGCACGCAACAUUGCUAUGGUUUUUGCACCGAACAUGACUGAGGUUGGUAGCCUUUGAUUUAAAAUGGUUGUGUAUUGUUGUUUUACAUGUGAAAUGUCUCUGGUUGCUAUAUGUUGUUUGCCUCAAUUUUUCUUUGAAACUCUCUCCAUUUUGAGUUAUGGUCAAGCCUGAUGGUUGUUAUAGCUUUAAAGUAAGAACUGCUGCGGAUGAUAUCUACCAGUAUCAAUGUCCUUGGAAAGAUGAAAUGAAAUGUUGUUGUUCCUUUGCCCCCAAGGUGGGCCAAGUUGGCCAGGACUCAGGACAACACAUUUUAGAUGGAAGGCCCUAGUUGGUCUCCCACAAUAAUACCUUGUUGAUUACCUGAUACCUAGGUCAAGUGUAGGCCUGGAUUUUGGGGUUUAUCAGGCCCACCUACUAAAAGAUGAGUCAAUCCAUAACAUCAAAAGAUUGUUGAUCCUUGGCUAUGACUUGGAUCUGACAAUGGUUCAUUGUUUUAUAAAACUUAGCCAAGUUUAUUCUAGCAGGGCUUCAUUGUUGCACAGUUCUCUUUACUGGGGGUAAUUGUGGUUGUAAUGACCAUAAGACAAUCCUCUUUGUUCACAAACAAAUAUAAGGUUUGCUAUAGACUAAACUAGAAUUGUUGCUGCAGAUGGCAGAUCCUUUAACUGCAUUGAUACAUGCAGUGCAAGUUAUGAAUUUCCUGAAGACACUGAUUUUAAAAAUCCUGCGUGAGCGAGAGGAAUCAGCUGCAGAGGCUACACUGCAUUCACCAAGCUUGAAAUCUCCCAACCACAACAGUGACACUGUGUAUUCAUUCAUGGGUGAAUCCUUUGGGCAGAAUCUAAAUUCCUGUGCCCCCAAGGGACCUGUUGAUGAUAUCUCAUUCAGGACUACCAGUUUGGACAGCCCGAAAGCUGACAUUGAUGAGAAACUGUGGUGCUCUCCGGUAUUAAGUGACGGGGAAGAUGAACUCGAGUCCAAUUCACACAGCAGCAUGUCUACUAAGUAUGAACUCGAUUGUUCCGAAAAUGGAUGUAGAAGUGGAUAUGAAGCUGGAGACUGGUUAAGUUUGAGGAAAGGAGUGCGGAAGCUGUGCAGCCACCCGGUGUUUCAGUUGAGUAAGCCGGCGAAGAAGACUGAAAAUCUUGGGAUUGUAAAUACUAGGGAGAGAGAAUUUUGAAGUUUUUUCUUUGAGAUAGAGACCUCUGUAUUUUUUUUUUUUUGUAUAGAGAGAGAGAGAGAGAGAGAGAGAGAGAGAGAGAGAGAGAGAGAGAGAGAUGUCUGUAUUUGUUCAUAAUAUGUUGGUUGUGGUUGGUUUGUGUGAACAUUUUUAUAGCAUAGAUGUUAGGCUUUUGGUUGAUUCUCUAGUCAGAUAAAAAGGAUUGGAAGGAACUAACUUGGGGGGGUAGUGAAAUGGAUAUAACUUUGAGUGCUUUUAAUAACAAUGUUGGAGAUUUAUACAAGUGAAUAAGCCUUGAAAGGAUGCCACUUAACACACACAAAAUUAAACUACAAAAAGAGAAGAGAGUUUUGAUGGGUUUACCCUUCAAUAAACUUCACAUUUGAUUGGGUUUGUGGUUUAGUUUUUGGGCUCAAAAUGGCAAUUGGUUGCAUUCAUGCCCCCCGGGGGAGUAUAUGAGCCCAAAACAAGGAGGCCUUUUGAAACCAAAAAAAGAAAAGAAAAAAAACAGAGAGAAAAUAACUGGGGUAGUCUCUAAGAUUUGGAUUAUGCGAAGUGACGUCGGUAAUUUAGCAAAGAUCUUUUUUGACAUUAAGUAUUUGAUCCUCUCUCCCCAAAUCUUUGACAUGAUUAUUUUAUUUUAAUAUGCAAAAGUAUAAACCAUAAUUACGCUAAAAAAA
RNAcentral lists this long non-coding RNA (24649 nucleotides) under Prunus persica (peach). RNAcentral's name for it is "long non-coding RNA (PPER_LNC002765)". Lineage: Eukaryota; Viridiplantae; Streptophyta; Magnoliopsida; Rosales; Rosaceae. The record is from RNAcentral.